This is a non-coding RNA of Solanum lycopersicum (tomato), 348 nucleotides long. The record is from RefSeq and is a predicted model, not a curated record. Lineage: Eukaryota; Viridiplantae; Streptophyta; Magnoliopsida; Solanales; Solanaceae.
AAUAAUGAAUUUAAAUCUAUAAGCAAAAGUAAAAUAUAUAUGGAUAUAUAUCUUAGAAGAAGAUUUGUCAAGAAGAGAAGAAGAAAGAAGAGAAGAUUCCAACAAGAUAUAUAGAAUAUCGAUAUAUAUCUUAGAAGCGAAGAAAUUUGAUUGGAUCUCUGAAAUCACAUUGCAAUAUCUUCAUUAUCAAUCAAGGACCAUCUUGUGUGCUAGAAAUAUGAUGUACAAUGGGAAGAGCUCUUUACUUCCACCUAAAAGCCCCUUUCCUAGUAUGGCCCCAUCAUAUGUCGAUUAUGUCCCUAGUUCUGCUUUCAACCAAAAGGGCAUUCAGAAACCCAGAGAAGGAAA